CGCAGCCAGCUGCGAGAUUUGGUGUGAAUUGCAGGACACAUUGAGCACUGAUUUUUCGAACGCACAUUGCGGCCUCGGGUCCUGCCCGGGGCCUCGCCUGUCUGAGGGUCGGAUAAGACUUGCCUAGGAGGUCUCGGCUUUUCUCAAAGAGAGGGCCGAGCCUUCAAUUGGCCGCACCGGACGCCGUCAAGGCGUUCGCCGGCUCAAGUACUCGGAAGGAUCUCGAUUCGCUCGCACACGGGCAGCAGCCACCUAGUUGGAAGCUCGUCGAGUGGAGGAAGACGGAUGUUCUUCUCCCGAGGACGAGACGUGGCUUCAAGCAGGCUGCCCUGCACACGGCGAGCGCGGUCGCAGGUCCCGUCGCAGCCCCGAUCCGCCACGGACGGGACGCGAUCAAAACCUAAAUUCUUUUGUCGACCUCAGAUCAGACGAGAUGACCCGCUGAAUUUAAGCAUAUC
RNAcentral lists this ribosomal RNA (458 nucleotides) under Zygiella poriensis. Its description in RNAcentral is "eukaryotic LSU rRNA". The stretch from base 1 to 111 matches the Rfam family "5.8S ribosomal RNA", at positions 44 to 154 of the family's 154-position model. Lineage: Eukaryota; Metazoa; Arthropoda; Arachnida; Araneae; Araneidae. The record is from RNAcentral.